This 253-nucleotide ribosomal RNA is filed under the name uncultured bacterium. RNAcentral's name for it is "partial 16S ribosomal RNA". It matches the Rfam family "Bacterial small subunit ribosomal RNA", at positions 524 to 776 of the family's 1533-position model. The record is from RNAcentral.
UACGAAGGGGGCUAGCGUUGUUCGGAAUUACUGGGCGUAAAGGGCGCGUAGGCGGCCAUCUAAGUCAGACGUGAAAUCCCCCGGCUCAACCUGGGAACUGCGUCUGAUACUGGGAGGCUAGAGUUUGGGAGAGGGAUGUAGAAUUCCAGGUGUAGCGGUGAAAUGCGUAGAUAUCUGGAGGAAUACCGGUGGCGAAGGCGGCAUCCUGGACCAAUACUGACGCUGAGGCGCGAAAGCUAGGGGAGCAAACGGG